This 375-nucleotide long non-coding RNA is filed under the name Rattus norvegicus (Norway rat). Its description in RNAcentral is "long non-coding RNA NONRATT020987". The record is from RNAcentral. Lineage: Eukaryota; Metazoa; Chordata; Mammalia; Rodentia; Muridae.
CGCUGAAGCAGCUGUUGAUUUAUUUCCCUUAUGAGGAGAUUAUAUAAACUAAAAUUAUGGCUGCAGCAAGCUCCCUCUUGGACUUAGAACCUAUGAAAAUCUGCUGAAUGGCUGCAGUGUGCUCCCUUGUGGGUAGUGAAGAUUCAAAAUGGAUAAUAUAGAGGAACCACAGAAAAAAGUCUUCAAGGCUCGAAAAACAAUGCGAGCAAGUGAUCGCCAGCAGCUCGACGCUGUGCACAGAGUCAAAGAGGAGCUGCUGAGAACUGACGGGAAACUGCUAAAUGGGAACCAUGAAAAUGGAGACCUGGAUCCUACUUCACCUUUGGAAAACACAGAUUGUAUUCAAGAUAAAGAAGAAGUGAAUGGUGUUGAUGG